RNAcentral lists this ribosomal RNA (253 nucleotides) under uncultured bacterium. RNAcentral's name for it is "partial 16S ribosomal RNA". It matches the Rfam family "Bacterial small subunit ribosomal RNA", at positions 524 to 776 of the family's 1533-position model. The record is from RNAcentral.
UACGGGGGGGGCAAGCGUUGUUCGGAAUUACUGGGCGUAAAGGGCUCGUAGGCGGCCAACUAAGUCGGAUGUGAAAUCCCCAAGCUUAACUUGGGAACUGCAUCCGAUACUGGAUGGCUUGAAUCCGGGAGAGGGAUGCAGAAUUCCUGGUGUAGCGGUGAAAUGCGUAGAGAUCAGGAGGAACACCCAUGGCGAAGGCAGCUCUCUGGUCGACCUCUGACGCUGAGACGCGAAAGCGUGGGGAGCGAACGGG